Long non-coding RNA from Cyprinus carpio (common carp), 620 nucleotides. The record is from Ensembl. Lineage: Eukaryota; Metazoa; Chordata; Actinopteri; Cypriniformes; Cyprinidae.
GUGUGUGGACCUGUGACUCUACAUGAAUGACUCAAGUGAAGAAACACGAGUGAAACCACUAUUUCAAAGGAAAAAGAAGAGGAAGAGGGGACAUCUUGAACAUUCGCAGUGGAACUUGAGUGCGCAUCUGCGCAAAGUCUCUCCAAAGUCACUUGGUAACUUGCGCGCACCACUGCAGCUCCAUUCUCAAGCAGUUUUGGGGGUCACGGCGAGGAGAGACUGUCGUCCGGCAGAAUGGCGUCAGACGUGGGCCGCAGCACUUGAGCAGGUGCAGAGCAGAUUUUGCAUGGAAAGGGUGAAAGUGUGCAGCUGCAGCAGUGAUCCUGAAGCUCAGACGUAUGUCAAUAUUUUGCUGUCGUACCUUAAGAUUAAAGGCAAAUUUCCUCUGGAGCUUCAUUUGACAUUUACUGGGCUUUUGCAUUGUCUGACUAUUUAUAUCACAGCAGAAACAUACCUUUACAGCACUGCCGUAGAAUUACAGUGUCUUAUUUAGCUCGAAAGCAUGUGAAAUAGCACUUUUUUUAAUUGCAGGUGUAUUAUUCAACGUCAGUAAUUUGCAUCACAAUGUUUGACAUGAAACUUGAAAUAAAAUCAGGAACUAGCUCUAUUUUAGAUGUAUG